GACGAACGCUGGCGGCGUGCUUAACACAUGCAAGUCGAACGGUGAAGCGCCUUCCUUUUUGGUGGGUGUGGAUGAGUGGCGAACGGGUGAGUAACACGUGAGUAACCUGCCCCCUUCUUCUGGAUAACCGCAUGAAAGUGUGGCUAAUACGGGAUAUUCUGGGUCUGUCGCAUGAUGGGUCUGGGAAAGAUAUUGUUUCGGUGGGGGAUGGGCUCGCGGCCUAUCAGCUUGUUGGUGGGGUGAUGGCCUACCAAGGCGGUGACGGGUAGCCGGCCUGAGAGGGUGGACGGUCACACUGGGACUGAGGCACGGCCCAGACUCCUACGGGAGGCAGCAGUGGGGAAUAUUGCACAAUGGGCGCAAGGCUGAUGCAGCGACGCCGCGUGAGGGAUGGAGGCCGUCGGGUUGUGAACCUCUUUCGCCAGUGAAGCAGGCCUGCCUCGUUUGUGGGUGGGUUGACGGUAGCUGGAUAAGAAGCGCCGGCUAACUACGUG
Molecule: ribosomal RNA, 494 nt
Filed under: uncultured bacterium
Lineage: Bacteria
Description: partial 16S ribosomal RNA
Rfam family: Bacterial small subunit ribosomal RNA
Source: RNAcentral